GUUUCAAUCCGGGAUUUUUUUUUCCCUUUAAAAAGGUGGGGGGGGUGGGGACAGUUAAGGCAGACCUAAUAUAUGAAGGGAAUUCGAGUUGAUAAGUGUGUUUGAAGUUGGAAGUGUGAAACCCCACCAGUUGUGUCUGAGCCUAGGGGAAGGCCUUGUUUGUGGCUAGAAGUCCUUUGGAAGUCUUUCCUCGUUUGACACACCCGGUUUUCCCAUGGACUCGCUGUGUGGCCUUGGAUAACAUACCUGACCUCUCUGUUUCUGAGUUUUCUCACCUUGAAAACUGGGCGAUGGCUGCCCUCAACGCUUUCCGAGGAUAUUGUGGGGAAGAGUGAGAUCAUGUCUGCGAGAGGGCAGAGGGAGCAAGCUUUGUCGGUGGUAAUGAACUUCUGGGAGCUCUGGGACUCGUUCAGUCACAUUCACCUCCAGGGCCCUCUCGAUUCUGACCUGCCCGGACCGCGAGAUCCCCGCGCUUUGAGAUUGGCGUUUGGCACCGGGGACAGGCAAGCUAUUGUUGCCUUCGGGGGUUAGCCCUUCACCUGAUUCCGCGGUCCCGGCUGCCUGCCUAGUCGCCCUUCCCACUCUCUCGCUUCCUCUCCCCCUUCCCCCCAAUCUCCUAGACUGGGUUCUGCGCCCAGGCCCCGUGGCGCCCAUCCCUUCCCUACCCUUCGGGCCCGGCAGGGGAAGUCUCCGGUCCCAGGAGAACUGGGGCUGUCGGGGCCGAGUCAGUGUGAAGCGUAAAACCGCGGAGCUUUAUUUGUUAGAGCCAGCCCUGCCUGCUCUCAGGGCCCUCUCUCGCUUCUCUCCUGAGGGAAGAUUGAGUCAGCUUGGGUCCUGGGUGCUAGGAAGUGGAGAAAAAAUGAAGCAAGCGGGAGACCUGCGGCUCAGAGUGAGCAGGUGUGGACCGGGAGCGCCUCGUUCCUGCAGCCCUGCGAGCUCGGAACCUGGCUAGCCGGGAGGCUGCGGCCGGCGGCCGGCGACUUAGCCCCGGCUGCCUGCGCACGGGCUUCGGGACCCCGAGUCCUGCGUCCCUGGCUGCGGGUUCUCUCCCCGAUGCGCUGAGCCAAUCUCCGCCGCGACCGAGGGCAAGCAAGCCUGCGCCUGGCGCCCGGACCGACCCGGGGCUCGCGGCUGAGCUGCUUUGGCAGAGGCAAAGCAGGCGCCUAGCCCAAGCCCGCCCCGUCGGGGCUGAGGAACUGGACUCUAAGGAAGGGAUCCUGGGGACUGACAUCUUUUUCCUGAUCCUGGAGACAGGAGGAGGCCAGAAGUCCUUACUGAAUGUGUGUGAGUGAGUGUGAGUGAGUGUGUGUGUGUGUGUGUGUGUGUGUGUGUGUGUGUGAUGGGGUGAAGGAAAGUUGGUGGGGCUGGCAUUGCCUAUUUCUUUUUUUUCCUCUCGGUAAGUCUGUAACGAAUCCGAGUGCUGAUUCUCUAGUUGCAUUCAAAAUAUUUCUCCCUAAUCCCGAAGGAUUUCGACGUGUAGAAGGGUAGACUUUGUGUGCGUGUGUGUGUCCAUUCCUCUGUGUGCGCGCGCGCGUCUGUGGAUCAGUGUAUUCGUGUUCCAGUCCCCGACCUCCCCCAACACACACACACACACACACACACACACACACACACACACACACACACACAUACGCAAGCCCCGGGGAUCAGCAACUUCUAAGCCUAAAAGUCUCAACAAGAUUGACCCGGGUGCACCCACUAGUCCCUACCCGCUCUCAAUUUUUAAGUCCCUUUUGGCGAAAUCCUAAAACUCGGUCCCGGUCCAUACCCUCCUUUCUCCCUCCCCUCCAUCGCACCCUGAAGACUUUUCCUUCUGAGUCUCCUUUCCUGGGCAGGUGAAGCCCGGUCUGCCCACCCGCCAGAGAAAGAACAAAUGCCAGGAAACACUGAGCCGCCCGAUAACCGAGAUUUCCUUAACUUUCGAAAGUUCCUUUCUUGGAUCGGAAGAAGAAAAAAGAAAAAGGAGAGAAAAAAAAAAAAGGAUAAAGGAGACCCUAGUUGUUUCUGUUUUUCUCUGCUUGUCACCGGGAUGCUGCCCCUGAUUUCUUGGGCAAGAUUGAGUCAAAACCUAAUAAAUUGUAUUUAGAGCUAUUUGAAAUAAAUUUAAAAAAAAACAC
This is a long non-coding RNA of Sarcophilus harrisii (Tasmanian devil), 2117 nucleotides long. The record is from Ensembl. Lineage: Eukaryota; Metazoa; Chordata; Mammalia; Dasyuromorphia; Dasyuridae.